UACUAGAGUAGCACUCGCAUAUCAAUAAGCGGAGGAAAAAGAAAACUAACAAGGAUUCCCCUAGUAACGGCGAGUGAAGCGGGAAGAGCUCAAAUUUUGAAAAUCUUAAAGGGUUUUCCCUAUACGAAUUGUAGUUUUAAAGAAGUGUUUUUUCUGUUGAGGUUUUUGGUAAAAAGUUUCUUUGGAAUAGGACAUCAUAGAGGGUGAGAAUCCCGUAUUUGACCUUUACUUUCAACUUUGUGAUACACUUUCAAAGAGUCAGGAUUGUUUUGGGAAUGCAGUCCAAAAAUGGGUGGUAAAAUUUUCAUCUAAAGCUAAAUAUUGGCGAGAGACCGAUAGCGAAACGAGUACCGUGAGGGAAAGAUGAAAAAGAAACUUUGAAAAAGAGAGUUAAAACAGUACGUGAAAAUUGUCAAAAGGGAAGGCGUUUUGACACCAGUGUUUGUUUUUUUCUGAAAGGUCAAUUAAAGAAACUGUUUUAUGCUAAGCUUGUUUUAGACUUUAUCAGCUAUCUGUUUUAGUUUUUGAGCUUUUUCUUUAAUGCACUUUUUCAGUUAACAAGUCAACAUCAAUUUCUUUUUGCUGUAAAAAAAGCUUGAGGAAGGUGGCUUGAGAUUCGUCUUAAGUGUUUUAUAGCCUCUUGCCUAUGCAGUCGGAGAGAUUGAGGUCUGCAGCGUAGAUCCUUCGGGGCUAAAUGCAUUUGUGCUAAGUUUAUAGCAUUUUUAUAGACAAACUUGUUGACUAUGAUUUUGUCUUGUAGCUUACUCGCUUAUGUUAUUUUUACCUACGCUUAGGAUGUUGAGCGCAUGUCUCUCUCU
This 818-nucleotide ribosomal RNA is filed under the name uncultured Neocallimastigales. RNAcentral describes it as "partial large subunit ribosomal RNA". The stretch from base 14 to 652 matches the Rfam family "Eukaryotic large subunit ribosomal RNA", at positions 24 to 664 of the family's 3401-position model. The record is from RNAcentral. Lineage: Eukaryota; Fungi; Neocallimastigomycota; Neocallimastigomycetes; Neocallimastigales.